ACUGGGCACACUGUGACUGGCUAC
This 24-nucleotide non-coding RNA is filed under the name Gallus gallus (chicken). Lineage: Eukaryota; Metazoa; Chordata; Aves; Galliformes; Phasianidae. The record is from miRBase by way of RNAcentral.